AAAAUAUAAAUAAAUUAUUAAUUGUGGAAUUGAUGGGUUCAUUAGAAGCUCAUGAAAAAAUAUUAGAAACACGUUAUGAAAUUGACAUAGAGAACGCUUUUCAAUCUAAAGUUUAUAUGCGGUUUCAUAAAAUCUAAAAAAAGGUGGAAGAAAAUUCUAAAAACAAAGGAACUCAAGGAAAAGAAAUUGAUAAUAAUGGAAAGUAUCCUUCAUGUGGCGUUUGUAUAAAAUUAAAAUAAAAAGGUCAUUUGCAUAAUGAUUGUUGGUUUAAAGGAAAAUCACAUUGCCAUAAUUGUAAACAAAUUGGACAUGAAAAAUUCUGUCACUUUAAACAAAACUAUCAAGCUAGUUUAUCUGAAGAAAAUGAUAUAGAAGGAAGUCUAUUUCAUGCCUCCAAUAAGGAUACAUCUAAAGAAAACUAGAUGCAUAGUAUCUAGAUAGUGGUCGUAGUAAUCAUUAAGGCAAAAAUAAAAAUUGACAAUGAUGAUUUUAUGAAGCCAACAGGCAAAUAAAGUGCUAUUGCCAUUGAUACAGAAAAGGGUAAGAGAUAUAUCAACAAAGUUCUCUUGAUCCCUAAAAUAGAUCAAAACUUAUUAAGUGUAUGUCACAUGAUGAGAAAUGAUACAUUUUACAUUUCAAAGGAGAUUCUUGCAUAAUUUAUGACGAAAAAGAUAAAUCCUUAGUAAUUGCAAAAAUUAAAAAGCGGUAGAAUAAAUGUUUUCCAAUUCAAUGGAGAUACGCAAACAAUACGGCAAUGACGACGCAAGUGGACGAUUCGUGAUUGUGGUAUAGGAGAUUUGGACACUUUCACUUUCACGAGUUGAAGAUCCUAUAACAAAAAAAAUGAUGAGAGAUCUACUAGUCAUAAAUGAGAUUAAAGAAGUUUGUGAAGGAUGUUUGCUUGAGAAAAAUCGUUAACCAUUUUUUCUAAAAUAUCUUGGAAAGCCAAAAAGUCGUUGGAGCUGAUACAUAUAGAUGUACGGGGUCCGACGCGUACUUCAUCACAUGACCAAAACAAGUACAAUUUCAUCAUAGAUGAUUACACUAGAAUGACAUCACUAUAUUUUUUACUCGAGAAAUCCGUGUUUGAGAUUUUCAAAAAAUUUAAAGGCUAUGUUGAAAAGCAAAGUGAUUGAAAUAUCACGACUAUUAGAAGUGAUAGUGAUAAGGACAUCCAGUCUUUUAUUUAUUUCUAAUUGGACUUUAUUUUGUUUUGGAUUCUUAUUUAUGUAAUUGGGCUUAUAUUGGCGCAAGCCCAUUCUAGUUAGGGUUUUGGUUUUUACUAUUUAAACCUACUUUGCUAUAUAAUUUCAUUAGUUGAUAAAUGAAUAAAUUAUUUUGGUGGCUCGUGGCAACUUUCUUUUCUCCAUCUGUACUUCUAUUGAUUCUUCUUCUACCCCUCUUCUCUCCUCAAUUCCCUCUUCCCAAUAGAUCCGUUCUUACUUUCAAUUAAUUGUUCGAGUUGGUCCUGCAUAAGAUAAAGGCAAACAAUACAUAUCAAAAAAAUGCAACAAGUUCUGUGAAGAUGAAAGAAUGGAGCAUCAACUCAACGUUGGAUAUGCACCAGAACAAAACGGCGUUUCAGAAAGAAAGAAUAGAACAUAAUGGAGAUGGCGAAAGCUAUGCUCAUGGAGAAAAGUCUUUCGAAAACAUUAUGGCAGAAGUAGUAAACAAUACAGUCUACUUAUUAAAUCGACAUUCGACUAAAGUUAUGCAAGAUAAAAUACUUGUAAAAGCAUGGAGUGGACGAAAACUAUCAGCAAAGCAUCUCAGCUUUUUUGGUUGCAUCUACCACACGCAUUCUACAAGAAAAAAGAGGCAUAUUAGAUGAAAAGAUGGAUAAAGGAAUUUUCUUAGGCUAUAGUACUCAAACUAAAGGCUAUCGAGUUUAUAACUUGAGAACAAAGAAACUAAUUAGAAGUCGAGAUUUUAAGUUUGAUGAAGAUGUCACCUACAAUUAGGGGACUGGCCAAGUCGAAAGAAAUGUUUUCAGCAUCCUAUCACAACUAGAAAAAUCCAAGGGUGACAUCGAGGAUAACAACAAAUCAGAAUCACCACAGCAAGCAACGAUAGAAGAACCAGUCGACUCACAAAAAAUUGUCACCAAGAAAAACAUAAGAGCUUAUCAAAAAUAUAUCAAACAUGCAAUAUGAUGAUCUUAGACCCUGAAAGCUAUGAACCAGCUUGAAACAACCAAAAUGGAUAAAAGCUGUGAACAAAGAAAUAAAAAUGAUUGAGAAAAUUAACACUUGGGAGCUUGGAGAUCUUCCUCAACAUAAAAAAGUCAUAGGAGUCAAUUGGAUCUACAAGACAAAGCUUAAGAUUGACGACGCAAUCCAAAAACACGAAGUAAGACUAGUCACUAAAAGAUACUCAUAGUAGUUUGGUAUCGACUACACUCAUACAUUUGCUACAGUUGCACUUCUUGACAUUAUAAGGGCGUUAAUUGCACUAGCCGCACAAAAGAAUUGAAAGAUUUACCAACUAGACGUUAAGUGAACAUUUUUCAAUGGUUUUCUUAAAGAAAAAUUUUAUGUAGAGCAACCUCAAGGGUUUAUGGUACAAGGUCCAGAAGAUAAAGUACUUAGAAUUAAAGAAAGCACUAUGCGAUUUAAGCAAGCUCCUAGAGUUUGGUACAACGGAAUAGAUAGCUACUUUACAGUGCAAAAAUUCAGGAAGAGUCAAAAUAAAUCAAAUCUAUACAUUAAAAAUCAAGGUACAAAUAGUAUACUCAUAAUCUCUCUAUAUGUUAGUGAUUUCAUCUAUAUAGGGAACGAUGAGAAGAUGAUCAAGAAAUUUAAGGAAGACAUGAUAAAAUCAUUUAAGAUGUCUGAUUUCGGAUUGAUGUACUACUUUCUUGGAAUCGAUAUAACCCAAUUUGAAGUUGAAAUCUUUAUUGCUCAGAAGAACUAUACUACUAGUCAUCUUGAAGUUCAAGAUGAAAGAUUGCAAAAAUAUAGCAACACCCCUGAAUAAAUCCAUUUCUAGAAUUUCCUAGAAUUUCUUGGGACCCAAGCAAAAACAAUAAAUAAAAAGUAGAAAAUAAGAAUUCUCUAGAAAUAGUUCCACCGCCUUUCACUUUCUAUAAAUAGGGGUUGCCACCUUCAAAUGUUGUGUGCAAUUGCUAUUCAAAAGCUUCCCAUUGUAAAAGUCCAGUUUGUAAAACUUUAAUAAAUUACUUUCUCCCCCUUCAACUAUCUUAUUCAUUAAAAUUUUUCCCACUAUUUCUAUCCAUAAAAAAUCUAUCCCCACAUAAAAUCCACUUAACCACUUUUAUCUAAAUUAAUUUAUUUUUUCUACUUUCUAUAAAAACUAUCAAUAUUUGCUAAUUGCUAUUGAAUAAUGUAUGGUUUAACAAAACUUAAUUUUCUGAUAAGUUGAUCAUAGCCACUUCAUCUGCCCAGAUAUCUGUACGAAAAUAACCUUGUUUAAAAUGUACAUUCAAUUUGUUAAACCUUUAAGAAAUUUUAUUUUGGAAAAUUGGUUGGGAUGAUUCUUGUGGCACUUNNNNNNNNNNNNNNNNNNNNNNNNNNNNNNNNNNNNNNNNNNNNNNNNNNNNNNNNNNNNNNNNNNNNNNNNNNNNNNNNNNNNNNNNNNNNNNNNNNNNNNNNNNNNNNNNNNNNNNNNNNNNNNNNNNNNNNNNNNNNNNNNNNNNNNNNNNNNNNNNNNNNNNNNNNNNNNNNNNNNNNNNNNNNNNNNNNNNNNNNNNNNNNNNNNNUUGUUUAAAAUGUACAUUCAAUUUGUUAAACCUUUAAGAAAUUUUAUUUUGGAAAAUUGGUUGGGAUGAUUCUUGUGGCACUUGUUUUAGAUUGCAAAGUAUGUAUAUUCUAUCAAAGUAACAUUCAUAGCAUGAGUUGGUGAUAUGGACUUUGGAGAUCUAUGUUAUUCUUUCUGUCACAACCAUGGGACAGGUACCUAAAUUAAGCAGAAAAUCUCUCAAGUUAUUGAAUGUUCAAACAAUUGGUUCUUUAAUGAUUUUUUUCAAAAUCAUCACUAUAGCAAGCUACAGUUUUGAUUUGUUUGUUUUGGAUCGUCAAUGCUUCUAUGGUCGUUAUUCUCACUAGUCACUAGUUAUGCUAUAUUAAUUUAUGUAUAGGAAACUAUACAACUAAUGAAAGGAUACGAGUCCCUCCAAUGGGAAUCUACAGGUGACAGUUGCUCUAGAUUGACUAUAGUUUUUAUAUACACCUUCUCUUUUGAAUGAUUAGCAUCUGUUUUUCCCACAGCUUCUUGAUAACUCAACCCUCGCCACCUACCCCACAGGCUCUUCCAUUUAUUACCUCUGUGUUUACUUUGUUUAACAAGGAAAUCUGGUAGGGUGUUGCUUGUUUUGUGA
RNAcentral lists this long non-coding RNA (4336 nucleotides) under Olea europaea (common olive). RNAcentral's name for it is "long non-coding RNA (OEUR_LNC010754)". Lineage: Eukaryota; Viridiplantae; Streptophyta; Magnoliopsida; Lamiales; Oleaceae. The record is from RNAcentral.